RNAcentral lists this ribosomal RNA (486 nucleotides) under uncultured bacterium. RNAcentral describes it as "bacterial SSU rRNA". It matches the Rfam family "Bacterial small subunit ribosomal RNA", at positions 29 to 534 of the family's 1533-position model. The record is from RNAcentral.
AACGAACGCUGGCGGCAUGCCUAACACAUGCAAGUCGAACGAGACCUUCGGGUCUAGUGGCGCACGGGUGCGUAACGCGUGGGAAUCUGCCCUUUGCUUCGGAAUAACAGUUAGAAAUGACUGCUAAUACCGGAUGAUGUCUUCGGACCAAAGAUUUAUCGGCAAAGGAUGAGCCCGCGUAGGAUUAGGUAGUUGGUGGGGUAAAGGCCUACCAAGCCGACGAUCCUUAGCUGGUCUGAGAGGAUGAUCAGCCACACUGGGACUGAGACACGGUCCAGACUCCUACGGGAGGCAGCAGUGGGGAAUAUUGGACAAUGGGCGAAAGCCUGAUCCAGCCAUGCCGCGUGUGUGAAGAAGGUCUUCGGAUUGUAAAGCACUUUAAGUUGGGAGGAAGGGUAGUAACCUUAAUACGUUGCUACUUUGACGUUACCGACAGAAUAAGCACCGGCUAACUUCGUGCCAGCAGCCGCGGUAAUGUGACUACUG